UAGAAUGGUGUCUUAAAAUUGGCAAUGAAGGUCGACAAGCCACUGCGAAGUGCUCCUGCACUAAGGUAUAUAUCUAUCAAGGACUGCACUGGUGUUUGUGAUCAGGGAAAUGUUGGCCUGUUUUCUUCACCUUCUUUGGUCCUGACAAAGGGGAUUGUUGGUGAUCUUCUCCAUGAAAUAGCAUGCUCAUGUCAUUUUUAUCAUUGUUUGUUCUGUUUCAGUUUCAUUAGAUUAUUUGCAUUUAAUACUUCUAUUUUCCUUAGGUAAUGCGCACAACUUGAACAAGUUUGGCAUAUUUCUGUGAGUGCAUGAAGGAGGAAGCAAGUUAAAUGGGUAAAAUUCAAACUAAUUGUGGUGAACACCUGUACUUAUACAUGCCCACAAGCUAUUUGAGUUGAUGUGUAAGUUAUUUUUGUUACACACUUAUAUGAAUAUGCUUUUAUGAUCGCUCUUGCUCAUUGUGUUAUAAUAUGAUUGCUGCAAUCACUACUUAUCUUCCUAAAUUAUAUUUUGCUUCUUUCUAUAUGCUUGAUGAGUUUAUAUUUCAUCCAAAGAUCACGCAGGGCUUCAAUCUAACAGAGAGCAGGAUCUUAAGGAAGAUGUUAAGCAUGGAUAACUUCAAAGGGGUUCGAAGGGGAAACUUUUAGAAUUCAUCAGAUUGCCAUUUUGAACUGUAAGUUUAUUUCUCUUUUGCUGCUGUUUGUUUGUUUUUUAUUUGCUUUGCUCUUUCUCUAGCUGGGUAGUUGUUUUUUUUAUUCCUUCUCUAUAUGACACUUGCAUGUUGUUAUUUCUACUAAAUCAGGUUAAAGAUAACAUCUUUAUGCCUAUUUUGUGAAUUGGAUCAUUUUGAAUUUUUCGUUUAGCCAUUUGCAACUGUAAUUUUGUUUCUCUUUUGCUGCUAUUGUAACAUUUUUAUUCAUAUCUCAAGGCUAAGCUUCUAUAUUGUGAUAUCACAGAUACUUCUCUUGAAGCAUAGAGGUGAGAAAAUAUGUGGGGCCUUUAGGCUGGCAGUGUUCUCAUCUGAUCAAUUACUUGGAGGUCAGCAGCAGUAUCUCUAAUUAGUGAAUUAGUACUAAAUACCAUCUGUAUUAUCAAUCAGUUUUUACAUCAAAGUAAGAUGUGCAUGGUCUAGGGAAUUAAUGGAGUGCCAAAAAUUAAGAAUGGUUAUAAUCCUGCAACUUGGAUGUUGGAGGUUACUUUACAAGCCCAAGAAUCCCAUAUCCAUGUCAUUGGAAACUUGAUUCAGAUGUUUGGAAGCAAACAUUGCUCUUUAACACAGAAUUUUUUUAUGUAUGAGGGUUUGUCAUGAUACAAGAGUUGGGUGCUCAAAAGAGAACAGGUAGAUCUUGGAAUGGGAGGAAGUGGAUAUUGGGGGAAUGCUAUGUCAUGUGUAAAAAUGAUUAAGAAUGGAAAUAAAGAAUAAUGGAUGGAGAGAAAAUAUUUAUAUGAUUCAAGAUAUACAUUUUGUUCCUUCUUUGGUUUAUUUUUUGCAUUCUAAUUUCUUUAAAGCAUUCUUUUAAUCUUUUUAUGCAAAGCUUUCUGCAUUUUGUUGAGUAUGUGUGACUCUAAUGUUGUUCUCAUCCUUUCGUUCUUUGCUUUAGUUUUUGGUGUUGCACUUUCUUUAAUGUUGUAGUUCAUUUGUUUCUUUCAGAGUCCUUUCUCUUUUGUUGAUUUCUCUUUCGCCUCUUUUCGUCUUUCAAUUUUUCUUUAUAAUUAUUCUAUCAUAUUUUCAGGUAAUUAGUGGGUACUAUGUUUAAUUGCUUUGAGGACGGUGACAGUUUUGAAAGGUAAGCCCUGUAAUGCAAUUAUAGACCUCAUCCCUAUUCAUAGUUGUUUGAUUCUUAGUUGCCUAUUUGUGCAUGACUUUCACUAUGCACGAUGCAGUACUUUCAGAAGUCUAAACCGGGCAAAAUCAGUGAAAAAAAUUUAUCACUUUUUGUUUUAGCUUUAUAAAUUAUAUCUCUUUGUUAGUAACUGUUAAUUAGACUAUUUUUACCAAGUAGCUAGGCUACCUCAGUAUGUGAUCUAAUUCUUGGGUUAUGUAGGGGGUAUAAAAAAGGAGUCAGGAUAUAGGUGAUGUAAAUUAGGUGAUUUAUUAUUUGGGACAUUAAGAGUCCAACUAAGUGCCUCUCAAUUUGAGGUUAAGGAUGCUUUUAGACACCUUACUCUGCAGGUUUUAUGCAUAUUCCUUGACUGAGGGUUCUUUUAAUAUUUACUAUUGUUCCCAUGCCCACCUGGAUUGCUUUUCCAUUUUCCAUUUACUUGACUGAGGUUAAGUAUGAUUUUAUGAAAUUCUCUCAUUUCUUUUCUCUAAUGCAGCUGCUUACUUUGUCUCUUCGAAAUUUGAGUGCUUGAUGUUAUUUGAUCAUUCGAUUAAUCUGAGAGGGGGAUGCUAUUUUUUAGAAGACAAAAAAAUUGAUUUUGGUGUUUUAUUGUGUUUCAGUACCAAGGGAGCAAAUGUGAGGUGCAGUUUCAGCAAAUCAACAAAUCUUAUGAUAUAAUAUCCCCCUUCCCCAUUCCUGGCCUGCUCCUCCUUUUUGCAUCCCUAUGACUAUACACUCAACAGGACUCUUGACUAAAUGCAAGGAAGUUACCUUCAUACUGAAAAGAAGGCAGUUUAAGUUACACCUUGUCCAGCCACAUAAACUAAAAAGAAGAAAAAUUAUGUACGCUUUGGAUGUCAUGCUGACUUAGCAUCUGGAGUAUCUUCAGAUGAUGGCCAUAUGAAGCAAAUCAAGUCCUCAAAUAACCAAUUUGCAUGUAAAUCAUCAUUGUAUCCUACCCCACCCCUUUUCACUAUUUGUUUUUUAUAUUCUAGAACUUUUUAAACUGCCAAAUAACUAUCUACUAAAAGACAUGAUAAUUGCUAUUAAAGUUUGUGUACAAUAUUUAGUGCAGAAUAUCAGACAAUGGGACCCAU
This 2920-nucleotide long non-coding RNA is filed under the name Lotus japonicus. RNAcentral's name for it is "long non-coding RNA (LJAP_LNC001757)". The record is from RNAcentral. Lineage: Eukaryota; Viridiplantae; Streptophyta; Magnoliopsida; Fabales; Fabaceae.